This is a long non-coding RNA of Oncorhynchus tshawytscha (Chinook salmon), 713 nucleotides long. The record is from Ensembl. NCBI's taxonomy places the organism in Eukaryota, Metazoa, Chordata, Actinopteri, Salmoniformes, Salmonidae.
CUGUGGAGAUACACGCUGUGGUUGAAAAAACGAUAGCCGAGUAUCAGGCAGAUGUUUCCCUUUCAUAGGGGGAGAUCCGGCGUUUACGGAUGCUGCUGAAAUUGCAAAGAGCAGGUUAGCGUGAGUGACGACGAUGAGGCAUUCGAGAGACAAAUAACUGUCCUGGAGAAAGAAAACAGAAGGCUGGAGAAGGACCAGUAUCAGCACCAGUAUUGGAACCGAGCAUCCAAAACAGACUGACAUUGGAGGAGGGAUAAUGGUUUCAGAGGCAGCGCUCCACUACAUUGAUCAUUCACACCACCAUAAGCUUACCAAUGGCCUUCUGACGCUGUUGUUCUCAAACGAGGAGCUGGCAGAGAGCAGCCUCAGUGGAAAGAGGUGUAAUGCUCACAAGAAUGAUAAUGUCAAGAAGGGCCUUGACAUCAGACGCCUUGAGCCCAUUGUUGGAUGUCAUGGAGAAAUGUGUUGUCGGAAAAAAAGAUGUAUUCACAAUUAUCGGCGUAAACUCAAUUAUGAAGACAAGCUGUCAAAAGGACUUAUUUCAAGGAGGAGGAAGAAAUAGAUAUCAUUGAACUACUGCCCAUCAUAUAUAUAUGUAUGUAUGUACAGUGGGGCAAAAAAGUAUUUAGUCAGCCACCACUUGUGCAAGUUCUCCCACUUAACAAGAUGAGAGAGGCCUGUAAUUUUCAUCAUAGGUACACUUCAACUAUGAC